This 164-nucleotide ribosomal RNA is filed under the name Chamaerops humilis. RNAcentral's name for it is "5.8S ribosomal RNA". It matches the Rfam family "5.8S ribosomal RNA". Rfam says of the family: 5.8S ribosomal RNA (5.8S rRNA) is a component of the large subunit of the eukaryotic ribosome. It is transcribed by RNA polymerase I as part of the 45S precursor that also contains 18S and 28S rRNA. Functionally, it is thought that 5.8S rRNA may be involved in ribosome translocation. Lineage: Eukaryota; Viridiplantae; Streptophyta; Magnoliopsida; Arecales; Arecaceae. The record is from RNAcentral.
GGUACGACUCUCGGCAACGGAUAUCUCGGCUCCCGCAUCGAUGAAGAACGUAGCGAAAUGCGAUACCUGGUGUGAAUUGCAGAAUCCCGCGAACCAUCGAGUCUUUGAACGCAAGUUGCGCCCGAGGCCACCCGGCCGAGGGCACGCCUGCCUGGGCGUCACUU